UAAAGAAGAGAGAAGAAGAAGUAGAACUAAAUAAAAAUGUGCUGGAGUGCAAAAAAACUGAUCGAGUCAGCGCAGAGGUAAAAUUGAAAGUGUGGAAGGAAAUAGAGAUCGAGUUCAACUCAAAGUUUGGUAAAGUGUAUAGGAGCUCAAAGGUGCUGAAGACGAAGUACGAGAAUGUGAAGAAGGACUCAAAAAAGAGAUUAGCAGCAGAAAGGCGUGAUAUUUAUACCCAGCACAACAAUAGACGGGAAAAUACUGAGCAUUUGCCAGCCUGAGCAAAUUGCGGGCAAUGAAGCUAUUUAUAAUGACGACGCAUUAGAAAUAAUUGAAGAAACUUGCAUUGUGGAAGUUCCAGUGGAGAUGGAAGAAGAUUUAUCCGCAUCCCUACUAGAGCAGACACUAGACAAACCUCAAGACAUUUCGUGGCAGAAAUAUACCCCAGUCAAUCUGCGAAAACCGGCACACCACUAUGAAGGCUCGAAAAAGGAACUCUGCUCCGGACUCCUGGGCUGAUACUGCCUCAAAAAAGGCAAAAAAGUGCGAGUUACAUAUGAAAUGCAUAGUUGAAGAGCAUGAACUCUCAAACAAGAGGCUUCCACCAGUUGCAUAUACCCU
Molecule: long non-coding RNA, 615 nt
Organism: Rhagoletis zephyria (snowberry fruit fly)
Lineage: Eukaryota; Metazoa; Arthropoda; Insecta; Diptera; Tephritidae
Source: RefSeq, a predicted model, not a curated record